Molecule: long non-coding RNA, 1566 nt
Filed under: Meriones unguiculatus (Mongolian gerbil)
Lineage: Eukaryota; Metazoa; Chordata; Mammalia; Rodentia; Muridae
Description: lncRNA (ENSMUGG00000014196.1)
Source: RNAcentral
GCUGGGUCAUGUGGCAUGAGGGAGCCAGUGUUAAUGCAGCCGGUCCUCUCUGUUUCUUCCUCCGUAGGAAACCGUGCGCUUGUAUCCCUUCCAGAUACACAGCGUUGCCCUUUCAACGUUUGCAUCACUGAUUGGCCCGUUUGGAGGCUUCUUCGCCAGUGGAUUCAAAAGAGCUUUCAAAAUCAAGGAUUUCGCAAACACUAUCCCCGGGCACGGCGGGAUAAUGGACAGGUUCGACUGUCAGUAUCUGAUGGCAACUUUCGUGCACGUGUACAUCACGAGUUUCGUAAGGGGUCCGAAUCCCAGCAAAGUGCUCCAGCAGCUGUUGGUACUUCAGCCAGAGCAGCAGUUAAAUAUCUACAGAACCCUGAAGAUUCACCUCACCGAGAAGGGGAUCCUGCAGCCCACCUUGAAGAUGUAGCUGCCUGAGGACAGACUGCCCGGGAGGAGCCCACAGGACAGCUCUGAGUGAAGUCAUGCACUGAGCCAGCAUGGAGCUGAAAGCUUGAUGGACGCGGCUGUUGCCGAUAUGAAUGUUUUUUUCUCUGAUAAGACUGUGAAUAUUUAACAAACAUAUAUGAUCUUAGCGAUGAGCGUGUGGCGGACGCCGGCCCAGGAAAGGUCCCGCACUCCUCUAAGACGCGUUUUCCGACGUUAACUGCUCUGCCCUCACUUACUGAGUUCCAUGACUUAGGAGACUUGUGUUUUAAAGAGUCCAGCACCAUGCAGCAAGGCCUCAGGGUCGUGCCUGGCAGUGUGACCUUUUGCAGGGACACUGGCCUCUGCACCAGGAGCCGCCUCUUCUGUGUCGCUAACGCUCCGCAGGCGCCAUGCAAAGCCAGGUCUCCAGGGCCGCCUCCUCUUCUAAGCUCAAGUAUUGCUGAGGGCCGAGUUAGAUUAAAAAAGAAAGAAAAAGAACGAUUGUCCACUUUUCUCUCUUUCUUCCCCCUCUCCUUGUUUGUUUGUUCAUGAUGCUGGGGUGGCCCCCAGGUCACACACCAGGCAGGUGCCCACUUCCGGGCUGCUCUCCAGCUGACUGCUCCUCUCAGAGAAGUAGUCAUCUGCCAAGGGCAAGCACCCUGGCGUUAAGCACUUUCAAAAUUCAGAAGCUAGAGGCUGAAGCCUUCCUGAUUUGUUUAAAAAGAAGGCAUCAGAAUCCAUUUCUGAUGAACCUUUUGGAGAAACACAACCAACUUCCUCAGAGACACAGAAGUGGGUGCUGAGUUAAGAGAGCAGCAUGGGGCUCCCACUGGGAAUCCCUCACUCGGGGGCUGGGGCAGGGCGGUGCCUCUGAGGCUGCAGAAACAGGUACCCCUCCACCUCCACCCCUGGUCUGGUGGGAGCUUCUGCUUUCCUUGGUUCCCUGAGUCCUGGUUGGGGUGGUGAGGCCUGCAUGGCAGGCAGGGCUUCCUUCCAGCCUGCUCUCCACCUCAACGGGCAGGAAGAGAGUUCUGCCCAAGGACCCCGACCAGGGCCAGCUCCCUGGUGGUAACUAACCUCUGUCAAAUUGCUCUUCCCGCUAUGUCACAAAAUCCAAGAAUAAAAAACAAGCAGAAAUAAUAGCCA